UACGUAGGUGGCAAGCGUUGUCCGGAAUUAUUGGGCGUAAAGCGCGCGCAGGCGGUCCUUUAAGUCUGAUGUGAAAGCCCACGGCUCAACCGUGGAGGGUCAUUGGAAACUGGGGGACUUGAGUGCAGAAGAGGAGAGUGGAAUUCCACGUGUAGCGGUGAAAUGCGUAGAGAUGUGGAGGAACACCAUUGGCGAAGGCGACUCUCUGGUCUGUAACUGACGCUGAGGCGCGAAAGCGUGGGGAGCAAACAGG
This 253-nucleotide ribosomal RNA is filed under the name uncultured bacterium. RNAcentral's name for it is "partial 16S ribosomal RNA". It matches the Rfam family "Bacterial small subunit ribosomal RNA", at positions 524 to 776 of the family's 1533-position model. The record is from RNAcentral.